This is a long non-coding RNA of Rhinopithecus roxellana (golden snub-nosed monkey), 1956 nucleotides long. RefSeq lists it as uncharacterized. The record is from RefSeq and is a predicted model, not a curated record. The transcript has 3 exons. Lineage: Eukaryota; Metazoa; Chordata; Mammalia; Primates; Cercopithecidae.
CUGACACGGCCAAGCCGGAUCCUGAGGAGCCAGUGGGGCGCAGGCGCGGCGGCGCGGGGCUGGCUGGCGGUUGAGACCGCGACGGUACUGGGAGGGGUAGGUGAGGGUCGCGAGGCUGCCUGAGCUACUGAGUGAGCAUGGCGCUUUUGGAACGCCGGACGGGCGACCUGCGGCGCCAGGAGCUGGGUCGAGGCGCGGCGGCGCGGCUACCGGCUGCUGUCUGGAUGGGAAGUUAUGGCGAAGUCCACCCAGCCUUUCCGAGGCAAUCUGAAGGCAAAUCCUGUUUAGACCCAGGCGAAGGUUCCUGGUGACCCAGGCUCUCACCAGCCAAUUGUCCCUUCCUGUCCUCCUGAGGGUGUCUGGAGCUUCAGUGCUAUGUGCUCUUGGCCUCCACGCUGGGGUGCUACUGACUCCCACUGUCCAGCGCUUCUGGUGGACUCUCCGAGGCACCGAUGCAGAAACUUCCCCAUUCGGUGCACCAAGAGCAGCCUCACAGGGUGUGGGCCGACAUGAAGAGCUGCCAGAUCCAACAGAAAUGUGAUUGAUAACAGUAAAGCCGCACUCCUCACGUGCCUGAAAUACCCCUCAUUGUCUUCUUCAGGUGGCAAGGGCUCUGGAACAGCCACAUAAAAGUGAGGGCAAUAUUUUUUUUCAUUGAUUGAUUGGUUGAUUGAUUUUUUUCUCUUAGAGGGGUUAGCAUCCAUGUAUCUGAAAUUGAAAUUCAAGAGGAGAGACAGACACCUGUACUAGUUUUCUCUUGCUGCCAAUUAUCACAUUACCACAAACCAGUGGUUUGAAACCACGGAAGUCUGGAAUGAAGUGGCUGGGUUCUCUGAUCAGAGUCAUGUGAGGCUAAAAUCCAGGAAUGGGCUGGCUGUGUUUUUUUCUAGAGCUCAAGCUAUUUUUCAAAGUUCAAUACAGAUAUUGGAAGAGUUCCUAUUCUUGUUUGUGGGGGACUGAGGGUCCUUUGUCUUUGCUGACUGUCAACCAGGAGACACUCUGACUCCAGAGGCCACCUGCUUUCCUCCUUACCUGUCUUUUCCAUCAUCAACCAAUAAUAACUCAUGGAGUCUUUCUCAAGCUCCUACCUUCUCUGACUUCAUCUUCUCCAACCAGCCCCAGAAAGUUGUCAUGUAUGAAGUGAUGUGAUUAGAUCCAGUUCAUGCAGGUAACCUCACCAGCUUAAAGUCAUAUAACUGGCAUAUAACAACACAAUCACAGGAAUGGUGUCUCAUCACCUUAACGGGCUUUAGAGACAAGGGUGUGGCAUGUUUAGGGACCAUUUCAGAAAUUCCAUCUACCGCAAUAUUCACAUUCCCCCAACUGCGAAAUGCAUUCACCCUCUCCCCUAAGAUUCCCAAUCUCAUGUCAUUAAAGCAUUAGUUCAACAUGAAAAAUGUCAUGUAGACCACAUCAGAUGAAAAGUGUAAAAUCCCAUUUAAAACAUCCACACCAAGUGUGGAUGAGGCUUCUGAGGGUGUCCAUUAGGUACAGAUCCUUGACAUAAUUCCCUUUCCUCCGUCGACCUGUGAAACUGAACAAACAGCUUAUCUGCCCCUAAUGUGAAAUGACGGGACAGACGUGGAAUAAUAACUACAGUGAUUCUAGUUCCAAAUGAGGGAACAAGGAAGGGAUAAAGAAGUCACUGACCCACAAUAGUUUGGAAAUGGAGUUGGGCAAAAUCCAGCAGGAGUUUCUUAAUUAGGAUCCACAGCCUGGGACUGAUCCGCCGUCCUGUGAGUCUUUGCCUCUGGGCUCUCUGCUCUGCAUUUCUUGAGACCAAGAUUAUUUGUCUUUUUUCUCACACUCUUUUGUGUAUGGCUCCUAUUGCACUCAAAAUGUUUUUGAGAUUCAUCCGUGUUGUUUUGUGUGUCAACAGUUUGUUCCUUUAGCCUUUCCAUGGAAUGAAUGUAUCACAGUUUAUUGAUCCAUUCUUGUAUUGACAGAUGCUUGAAU